This 65-nucleotide transfer RNA is filed under the name Isognathotermes fungifaber. RNAcentral's name for it is "Cubitermes fungifaber tRNA-His". Lineage: Eukaryota; Metazoa; Arthropoda; Insecta; Blattodea; Termitidae. The record is from RNAcentral. RNAcentral also lists the same sequence under 2 other names.
AUCUAAAUAGUUUAAGUAUAAAAUGUUGGUUUGUGGUGCCAGUGAUAUAGUUGUUAUUUUAGAUU